RNAcentral lists this long non-coding RNA (927 nucleotides) under Cricetulus griseus (Chinese hamster). Its description in RNAcentral is "lncRNA (ENSCGRG00015040426.1)". Lineage: Eukaryota; Metazoa; Chordata; Mammalia; Rodentia; Cricetidae. The record is from RNAcentral.
UGUUGAGGGUGGGGGUGGGAUGUGUUGAAAAGUCAGUUUCUCUCCUGGGAGCAGGAGCCAUCACCGCGGCAGCGCCUCUGUGUGGUCAAGGAGCAACCAACCGUGGGUGGUGGCACAUGCCUUUAAUCCCAGCACCCAGGAGACAGAGGAAGUCGGAUCUCUGUGACUCUGGAGCCAGCCUGGUCUACAAAGCUACACAGAAAAACAGUCUCGAAAAAUUAAAAAAAAAAAAAAUUAAAGUCAAGGAACCACAGGAGGGCUGCAUGGAUCAUACCCAGAACUUCAAUAAAGUCCUUAGCCUACACGGUCCUUUCCUUUUCUCCCACCCAAUUGUCUGGCCUCCAGACACUCGGUUCACCCCAAGGACCUAUACAAAAGUCUGUUUUCACGUUAUGUCCUAAUCAUUUUGCAAAGUAUUUCCCAACAUAAAGAUCUGAAAUUCCGACUGACCCAGACUCCAGGGAAGCAUUAGAGAAGCUACAGGAACUAAGCCCAGAGGUACCAAGAGGAGCUUGGGCAGAGAAGCUCCUGGAGGAUGCACUAUCUAUACUCAGCACACCUCAAUCAGCAUAACUGCUUAUGAGAAUUCUGAAUAUGAAUGCUUGACUGCAUGGAAAACAUAAAGUGAUGAUUUCAAAUUGCUUAUCUGAAUGAUAGAGCAGAUGAAUGAGUGGUGACAAAAGGGUGAAGUGGUAACAACUAGCCCGCAGUGAAGGGGUAAAUAAGGGUCCAUAUGCCAAUCAAUUAGGUCACAAUUAAAGAUCAAGCUAAUCAGAGCCAGAAUCCAAAACCAGAGUGCUCGAGUGUAUCCGUGUCUGUGUGUGUGUGUGUGUGUGUGUGUGUGUGUACAUGAGUGUUCAUAAGUGCUUGGGAUACCAUGCCCCUCAGCAGUCACCCAUCUUGUUUUUAAGACAGGGUAUCUCAGUG